RNAcentral lists this long non-coding RNA (3618 nucleotides) under Fukomys damarensis (Damara mole-rat). RNAcentral's name for it is "lncRNA (ENSFDAG00000030683.1)". The record is from RNAcentral. Lineage: Eukaryota; Metazoa; Chordata; Mammalia; Rodentia; Bathyergidae.
CGGGGGUUUAGCUCAGUGCACCGCGCCUGCCUCGCAAGCGCAAGGUCCUGAGUUCGAUCCCCGAUCUAAAAAAAUAAAUCACACAGCAGCAUCUUUUACAUCUUAACAGUGGAAUGAGAAGCGCUUUGUUUUCUAUUAAAACAGCAACAACAAAACCAGCCCAAGGCUCAGUGUGGACAGCUGUGGAGUACAUUUCCUCCCAGCGCCCUUGACAUUGUUCCACCGGAAGUUGCCUCCUCCCCUCACCCGGAAGCGGAAGCGCAAGCGUGGCUGUUGUUAAUUUGACGUCUCCGGAGCUGCCCGGCCCAGGAUGGUUGGAAGGGACUGCCGCUUUGCUACUACCAGAGCCAAGGGGGCAGGAAUGAGCACACUCCGCCGUUCCGGGACUCCGGAUCUGAACCGCGGCCCUGAAAUGCUCCUCAUCUGUCCCCUGGUUCCGCGAGCCUCGGAGGCAUGGCGGCGCCUCUCCAUGGGCUCCCAGAUCAUGAUGGCAGCAUGGCCUGGCCAUAGGAGAGACGCAGACUGUCAGGCCCACUCCAGCCCCGCUGCACCACAAGCCCAGUGGGGCAGCCUCACGCUCUGGGUUUUAAACAGCUGGGAGGUGAGUCUGCCGCCCGCUACCGUUGGCGCUCGGCUCUUGCUGUCUGCAGCAAGGCGUUGCCCGUCCUUCUCCCGCCUGUCCCGCUGCUGCUUUACCAGGUCGCAUUCUGGUUCCUUCCUCCUUUGUCCCCUACUUGUGUACGUGUGGUACACGUUCAUGCAUUUGUUCCUUGGUGAAACAUCUGAAAAGGGGUCGUCAGUUUGGGGCUGGAUCCAGCAAGACCGACACCCUGAAGGUUAAGCUUCUGUAGGAGCUAAGGAGCAAAAACACCCAGCUUUUUGAGAUGAUGGUAUUUAUUGUGUAGAAAUGAUGGGCCUGAGCAUCUCCUGCUACAAAUGACAAGAUGACAAAAUUAUUUGAUUUUUGUUGUUUUUUGUUUUGUUUUGUUUUGUUUUCAUAAGUACCAGAAAUUGGACUCAGGGCUUUGCACUUGCUAGGCAGGCACAAUGCCACUGAGAUACGUCCCCAGCCCUUUCUAUUGGUCUUAUAUUUGUAAUUUCACAUUUAGGUUUUGGAUUAUCCCAGACUGACCGGUGCCCAAACUCAUCUUCAUUCGCCUCAGCUGUUUCUCUCACCGCUGCAGCCAGUCCUUUGUCAGCCUCUUUCCUGUCGCCGUUCCUUCUCCGGUCCGCGGUCUGCUUCGUCCAAGGGCAGAUCCCCUGACAGUGGGACCUUCAUACUCUGUGUCUCGUCUACAGUCCACCCUACGCAUGGACAAACAUUACACUCCCUCCAGUGCAGCAUUCUCAAAAGACUUCUUCCUUUAGCCGAGCAUGGUGGUACAUGCCUGUAAUUCCCAGCACUCUGGGAAGCUGAGGCAGGAGGAUUCCGAGUUCAAGACCAGCCUGGGCAAUUUAGCAAUUUAGCAACGUCCUGUCUCAAAAAAUGAAAAAGGUUGAGGCUAUAACUCAGCGUGAAGGCCAUGGUUUCAAUCUCAAGUACCAAAAAGAAAAUUCUUUUAAAAAAUAAACUGUCAUUGAUGAGUAAUCAUUUUACAUAUUUAUGGUGUUUAGUGUAGCACUUCAAUUCGUAUUUACAAUUCACAGGGUGAUCAGCGUUUCCAUCUCCUCAAACAUUUAUCAUUUCUAUUUGUGGAGAACUUUGAACUCUUCUCUUCAAACCAAACUUAGCCUGGUCUGGCUUUCCUACUGCCCGAAGAGGGAAGAACUGAGAACCUUCUAACUCUUCUAGCUGUUUUGAGAUACAGAAUACAUUGACACAGACUAUAGUUGCUCCACUGUGUGCUAGAACAUCAGAACGAGUUCUUCCCAUCUAGCUGUCUUUGAGUGCCCUUUGCUUCAGCCUCUUUCUAUCCCUCCCUCUCACCUUCUCAGCUUAUCGUGGCCAUUAUUCUAUUUCCUGCUUCUAUAAAAACAGCCAAAGGCCGGGCGUGGUGGCGUACGCCUGUCAUCCCAGCACUCGGGAGGCUGAGGCAGGAGGAUCGCUGUGAGUUCGAGACCAGCCUGGGCUACAAAGUGAGUUCCAGGUCAGUCUCAACCACAUGGUGAGACCCUGUCUCAAAAAAAAAAAAAAAAAAAAAAAAAGCCGAAGAAUUGGUUCUUUCUCCUUAAAAGUGUGUAUUAACUUAUAUUACCACAAUAUCGCAGUAUAAGGGGUGAUAAAAUGUGUGGUGAAUAUUUAUUGAUUUAUGUUAUUUUAUUUUAUUAGUACUGGGGAUCAAACUCAGGCCCUUGUGCUUACGAGGCAGGGCGUGAAAUGACUGAGCUAAAUCCCCAGUCCCAUUGGUGAAUAUUUAAAUUUUUAAAAUGUAUUACAGUAAUAACCACAUUGUCCUUAAUCCUCCUCAGAACCCUCCCCUCCCUUCAAACACACUUGUUCCACGGCUCUUCCACUUUCUGAAGUGGUUCUGGAGUCUUCUUUCAUGAGUGUCAAAAUUUUCAGUGAAUGCUGUUGCCAAGCGCCGCCCAACAGAGAGGCAGGCUCGUAAAAACAUCCCUGUGUGUCCUUGUCCGUCUCAUUCCUGAGAUCCGGCAGUGGGACGCUUCUGGUUCUUCCUAAGUCCAAAUGACCAGGAAAAGUAAACUUUCCUAGUGGAUUCAGGACAUUGAGGCAGCCACGACAGCAUGACUAGAGACCCUCAUGAAAGAGGACUCCAGAACCGCUUCAGAAAGUGGCAGGAAAGAUGUGAUAAAUGUGUUUGAAGUGAGGGGGUAUUUUGAUGGGGAGGGAUGGCAAUGUGUCUCUUACCAGAAUACUUUUUUAUUUUGGUACCUGGGAUUGAACGCAGGUUGUCCUUGUGCUUGCAAAGCAGGUGGUGGAACCACUGAGCUAAGUCCCCAGCCCUCUAGAAUACAAUUUGUAAAGAUCUAGGUAUUCACUGUAUUGUUUGAUCACACCGUGUAUACCAGAGUGUCCCCCGUCUCAGCGGCUUAUGGCAACAGGUAUCUGUUAUUGCUGAUGUGUUUCUCUGUCCACUGUGGUCAGCUGCUCUGGGCAGCCGGGAGCUCUGUUCCACCACAGCUCUGCAUGCAGCUCUGUUCCACGGCUCUUGUCCUCCUCGCUGUAGUGACUUCCCUAGGACACGCCAUUCUCCCGGGCUUGGCAGCAGGGAAGAGGGCAAGUGAAAGUGCUCAGUGUGCCACCCAAGGUUACACCUGCCUGGAUGUCAGCCUUCAGUGUCUGGUCACUCCCACCCUCGCAGCCCAGGCCCCUCACCUGGGUUCACCAGGCAGGACGGAGCUCAUAGGAAUCUCGUGGAAGCGGGACCAGACCCGGCCAUGCUGGACAGUGGAUUCCCUGGCUUUUGCACUGCCCAGAGACGCGGGAGGGACUGUUUGGGUCCACUUGCUGUUGGUGGUUUGUACAAAAUAAACAGCAAACAAUUUCUCUUCAAUGAAAUAGACUGAACCACAGAUCAUCUUUGUGGCCCUUUCUUCCUUUCUUUGCCUUGGGGAAAAAUAUCUCAAGGAAUUAUUUUCUCCUUAACAAUGGCAACAGUUUAUUCCUGUUGCUUUGACUUGGAUCCUCUUUACUUUCUUUUUUUUCUAGACUGAGAG